This 1303-nucleotide ribosomal RNA is filed under the name metagenome. Its description in RNAcentral is "bacterial SSU rRNA". It matches the Rfam family "Bacterial small subunit ribosomal RNA", at positions 170 to 1497 of the family's 1533-position model. The record is from RNAcentral.
UGCAUAAGCCCACGGCUCGGCAUCGAGCAGAGGGAAAAGGAGCAAUCCGCUUUGAGAUGGCCUCGCGUCCGAUUAGCUAGUUGGUGAGGUAACGGCCCACCAAGGCGACGAUCGGUAGCCGGACUGAGAGGUUGAACGGCCGCAUUGGGACUGAGACACGGCCCAGACUCCUACGGGAGGCAGCAGUGGGGAAUAUUGCACAAUGGGGGAAACCCUGAUGCAGCGACGCCGCGUGGAGGAAGAAGGUCUUCGGAUUGUAAACUCCUGUUGUUGGGGAAGAUAAUGACGGUACCCAACAAGGAAGUGACGGCUAACUACGUGCCAGCAGCCGCGGUAAAACGUAGGUCACAAGCGUUGUCCGGAAUUACUGGGUGUAAAGGGAGCGCAGGCGGGAAGACAAGUUGGAAGUGAAAUCUAUGGGCUCAACCCAUAAACUGCUUUCAAAACUGUUUUUCUUGAGUAGUGCAGAGGUAGGCGGAAUUCCCGGUGUAGCGGUGGAAUGCGUAGAUAUCGGGAGGAACACCAGUGGCGAAGGCGGCCUACUGGGCACCAACUGACGCUGAGGCUCGAAAGUGUGGGUAGCAAACAGGAUUAGAUACCCUGGUAGUCCACACCGUAAACGAUGAUUACUAGGUGUUGGAGGAUUGACCCCUUCAGUGCCGCAGUUAACACAAUAAGUAAUCCACCUGGGGAGUACGACCGCAAGGUUGAAACUCAAAGGAAUUGACGGGGGCCCGCACAAGCAGUGGAGUAUGUGGUUUAAUUCGACGCAACGCGAAGAACCUUACCAAGUCUUGACAUCCCUUGACAGACAUAGAAAUAUGUAUUCUCUUCGGAGCAAGGAGACAGGUGGUGCAUGGUUGUCGUCAGCUCGUGUCGUGAGAUGUUGGGUUAAGUCCCGCAACGAGCGCAACCCUUAUGGUCAGUUACUACGCAAGAGGACUCUGGCCAGACUGCCGUUGACAAAACGGAGGAAGGUGGGGAUGACGUCAAAUCAUCAUGCCCUUUAUGACUUGGGCUACACACGUACUACAAUGGCGUUAAACAAAGAGAAGCAAGACCGCGAGGUGGAGCAAAACUCAGAAACAACGUCCCAGUUCGGACUGCAGGCUGCAACUCGCCUGCACGAAGUCGGAAUUGCUAGUAAUCGUGGAUCAGCAUGCCACGGUGAAUACGUUCCCGGGCCUUGUACACACCGCCCGUCACACCAUGAGAGCCGGGGGGACCCGAAGUCGGUAGUCUAACCGCAAGGAGGACGCCGCCGAAGGUAAAACUGGUGAUUGGGGUGAAGUCGUAACAAGGU